RNAcentral lists this ribosomal RNA (162 nucleotides) under uncultured bacterium. RNAcentral describes it as "partial 16S ribosomal RNA". It matches the Rfam family "Bacterial small subunit ribosomal RNA", at positions 355 to 509 of the family's 1533-position model. The record is from RNAcentral.
UAGGGAAUUUUCGUCAAUGGGGGGAACCCUGAACGAGCAAUGCCGCGUGAGUGAAGAAGGUUUUCGGAUCGUAAAGCUCUGUUGUAAGAGAAAAAGGGUGCUUAGAGGAAAUGGUAAGUACUUGAUGGUAUCUUACGAGGAAGCCACGGCUAACUACGUGCC